RNAcentral lists this ribosomal RNA (393 nucleotides) under uncultured bacterium. RNAcentral's name for it is "partial 16S ribosomal RNA". It matches the Rfam family "Bacterial small subunit ribosomal RNA", at positions 363 to 774 of the family's 1533-position model. The record is from RNAcentral.
AUUGCACAAUGGGCGAAAGCCUGAUGCAGCAACGCCGCGUGAGCGAUGAAGGCCUUCGGGUCNUAAAGCUCUGUCCUCAAGGAAGNNCCNNNCNGUACUUCAGGAGGAAGCCCCGGCUAACUACGUGCCANCAGCCGCGGUAAUACGUAGGGGGCUAGCGUUAUCCGGAAUUACGGGGCGUAAAGGGUGCGGAGGUGGUUUCUUAAGCCAGAGGUGAAAGGCUACGGCUCAACCGUAGUAAGCCUUUGAAACUGGGAAACUUGAGUGCAGGAGAGGAGAGUGGAAUUCCUAGUGUAGCGGUGAAAUGCGUAGAUAUUAGGAGGAACGCCAGUUGCGAAGGCGGCUCUCUGGACUGUAACUGACACUGAGGCACGAAAGCGUGGGGAGCAAACA